This 355-nucleotide unclassified non-coding RNA is filed under the name soil metagenome. RNAcentral describes it as "partial contains 5.8S ribosomal RNA, internal transcribed spacer 2, and large subunit ribosomal RNA". The stretch from base 1 to 120 matches the Rfam family "5.8S ribosomal RNA", at positions 35 to 154 of the family's 154-position model. The record is from RNAcentral.
GAUGAAGAACGUAGCGAAAUGCGAUAAGUAGUGUGAAUUGCAGAAUUCAGUGAAUCAUCGAAUCUUUGAACGCACAUUGCGCCUUCUAGUAUUCUGGGAGGCAUGCCUGUUUGAGCGUCAUUAAACCUCUCUCAAGUAUGAUUACUUGGAUGUGAAGGAAGAGUACCUUAAACUUAAGGAGUGUUCUCCUUUGAAAUUGAUUAGCAGAUGGUAAUGUUAUUAAAUCCCUGAUGUUGUAAGAAAUAACAGUGGUUUUGUAGACUAUUAUCUAGCUUUAAAUUAUAAUUUUUAUUAUGGUUGACCUCAAAUCAGGUAAGGAUACCCGCUGAACUUAGGCAUAUCAAUAAGCGGAGGA